UACGUAGGGUGCAAGCGUUGUCCGGAAUUAUUGGGCGUAAAGAGCUCGUAGGCGGUCUGUUGCGUCGGCUGUGAAAACCCGGGGCUCAACCCCGGGCCUGCAGCCGAUACGGGCAGACUAGAGUUCGGCAGGGGAGACUGGAAUUCCUGGUGUAGCGGUGGAAUGCGCAGAUAUCAGGAGGAACACCGGUGGCGAAGGCGGGUCUCUGGGCCGAUACUGACACUGAGAAGCGAAAGCGUGGGGAGCGAACAGG
RNAcentral lists this ribosomal RNA (253 nucleotides) under uncultured bacterium. RNAcentral's name for it is "partial 16S ribosomal RNA". It matches the Rfam family "Bacterial small subunit ribosomal RNA", at positions 524 to 776 of the family's 1533-position model. The record is from RNAcentral.